GUAUGGGGGGGCUGCUUAACACAUGUUAGUCGAACGGUGCCUUCGGGCAUAGUGGCGGACGGGUGAGUAACGCGUGAGAAUCUAGCUCUAGGUCGGGGACAACCACUGGAAACGGUGGCUAAUACCGGAUGAGCCGAAAGGUAAAAGAUUUAUUGCCUAGAGAUGAGCUCGCGUCUGAUUAGCUAGUAGGUGUGGUAAGAGCGCACCUAGGCGACGAUCAGUAGCUGGUCUGAGAGGAUGAUCAGCCACACUGGGACUGAGACACGGCCCAGACUCCUACGGGAGGCAGCAGUGGGGAAUUUUCCGCAAUGGGCGAAAGCCUGACGGAGCAAUACCGCGUGAGGGAGGAAGGCUCUUGGGUUGUAAACCUCUUUUCUCAGGGAAUAAGAACUGAAGGUACCUGAGGAAUAAGCAUCGGCUAACUCCGUGCCAGCAGCCGCGGUAAUACGGAGGAUGCAAGCGUUAUCCGGAAUGAUUGGGCGUAAAGGGUCCGCAGGUGGCCUUGUAAGUCUGCUGUUAAAGAGUGAGGCUUAACCUCAUAAAAGCAGUGGAAACUACAAAGCUAGAGUGCGUUCGGGGUAGCAGGAAUUCCUGGUGUAGCGGUGAAAUGCGUAGAGAUCAGGAAGAACACCGGUGGCGAAAGCGUGCUACUAGGCCGUAACUGACACUGAGGGACGAAAGCUAGGGGAGCGAAUGGGAUUAGAUACCCCAGUAGUCCUAGCCGUAAACGAUGGAUACUAGGCGUGGCUUGUAUCGACCCGAGCCGUGCCGGAGCUAACGCGUUAAGUAUCCCGCCUGGGGAGUACGCACGCAAGUGUGAAACUCAAAGGAAUUGACGGGGGCCCGCACAAGCGGGUGGGAGUAAUGGUGGAUA
RNAcentral lists this ribosomal RNA (874 nucleotides) under Nostoc sp. ISB211. Its description in RNAcentral is "bacterial SSU rRNA". It matches the Rfam family "Bacterial small subunit ribosomal RNA", at positions 35 to 951 of the family's 1533-position model. The record is from RNAcentral. Lineage: Bacteria; Bacillati; Cyanobacteriota; Cyanophyceae; Nostocales; Nostocaceae.